UCAAAAACUGUGCCCUAGAGUAAAAGUGU
RNAcentral lists this non-coding RNA (29 nucleotides) under Rattus norvegicus (Norway rat). The record is from RNAcentral. Lineage: Eukaryota; Metazoa; Chordata; Mammalia; Rodentia; Muridae.